GCUACAUUUAGCUGUAUUUUUGAGGGUUCAAAUCCCCCAUGGUCGAAUCUAAAUUAAAAAUAUGAUUCUCUUUUACAACAAAGUCGACUACUUAAGGAAAGGUCAAUUGAGAUGUCCUUGUGUGAUUCAUGCCUUUGGUAUCGUUAAAUUUAAUCGUUCAUGGUUAAUGUUGACCGUUUACUUAAACACAUCGCAGUGCCAAAUAGAUUACACUUCAAUUCAACGUUUUUUUCCUGACAUGCUAAUAUCGCAUUUGUUGUUAAGUUUCUGUAUGAUAUAAUUUCGAAGUAACUGAAGUCCAUGUUAUCUAUCUUUACAUGUCGUUCGUCGUUUCUUAUGUAAGAGACCAAAACUCGACAAUGACGGUGAAAAAUUGCAUAGUACAGAAUAAUAUGGCGUUUACGUUUACGCAAAUAUGUGACGUGCAAAUGUGCUACCUUUAUACAAAUGUUUGAAAGCUGUAAUAUGUUCUCAAGUAUAAAACUUAACCCACAGUGUCGAUUCUUAACCUUGUUCUUUUCCCGAUCUCAGACUUGGUAACACAAAGGGCGGAUCUUGUGCCGAAAUCAUAGUUGUGCGCGGAGAUAGGGAACUAUUCGACAUAUAAAGGUAAAGGUUAAGUCCUUCAGAUAGACGAAAGCACUCCAACUUUGAGCAAGUUAAAAGAGUAAGCGACAAGUCUAUUAUUGCCAUCUCAUGGAAAGAGGUUACGCUUUAGAACUCUUGGAACCCUAAAUUUUAAACCCUAAACUUUAAAUGCAAUAUAAACGAUGGAAUCGAAAACAGUACGCUACUUUUUUUUCAAUAUAUUUACGAUUUCUUAUAGAUAUAUGAUAUACAUACAUAUAUAUUUACAAAUAAUUUCAUAUUUAGGCACGUUUUUAUUUUCUAUUGUAUAUUUUGUGUGUACAUAUAUAGCAUGACAGUUAAAUAUUAUUAUUUAUUGUUGUUAUGUGCAAUGUUAUUUCACAGUACGACGUCUUAUUUGAAAAAA
This is a long non-coding RNA of Ceratitis capitata (Mediterranean fruit fly), 994 nucleotides long. RefSeq lists it as uncharacterized. The transcript has 3 exons. The record is from RefSeq and is a predicted model, not a curated record. Lineage: Eukaryota; Metazoa; Arthropoda; Insecta; Diptera; Tephritidae.